UGGCUAAGUCCGUUCGGCGGAA
RNAcentral lists this small nuclear RNA (22 nucleotides) under Arabidopsis thaliana (thale cress). RNAcentral's name for it is "snRNA_08779". The record is from RNAcentral. Lineage: Eukaryota; Viridiplantae; Streptophyta; Magnoliopsida; Brassicales; Brassicaceae.